This 769-nucleotide ribosomal RNA is filed under the name Staphylococcus epidermidis. Its description in RNAcentral is "bacterial LSU rRNA". It matches the Rfam family "Bacterial large subunit ribosomal RNA", at positions 700 to 1471 of the family's 2925-position model. The record is from RNAcentral. Lineage: Bacteria; Bacillati; Bacillota; Bacilli; Caryophanales; Staphylococcaceae.
UAUGUGGUCGUAGACCCGAAACCAGGUGAUCUACCCUUGGUCAGGUUGAAGUUCAGGUAACACUGAAUGGAGGACCGAACCGACUUACGUUGAAAAGUGAGCGGAUGAACUGAGGGUAGCGGAGAAAUUCCAAUCGAACUUGGAGAUAGCUGGUUCUCUCCGAAAUAGCUUUAGGGCUAGCCUCAAGUGAUGAUUAUUGGAGGUAGAGCACUGUUUGGACGAGGGGCCCCUCUCGGGUUACCGAAUUCAGACAAACUCCGAAUGCCAAUUAAUUUAACUUGGGAGUCAGAACAUGGGUGAUAAGGUCCGUGUUCGAAAGGGAAACAGCCCAGACCACCAGCUAAGGUCCCAAAAUAUAUGUUAAGUGGAAAAGGAUGUGGCGUUGCCCAGACAACUAGGAUGUUGGCUUAGAAGCAGCCAUCAUUUAAAGAGUGCGUAAUAGCUCACUAGUCGAGUGACACUGCGCCGAAAAUGUACCGGGGCUAAACAUAUUACCGAAGCUGUGGAUUGUCCUUUGGACAAUGGUAGGAGAGCGUUCUAAGGGCGUCGAAGCAUGAUCGCAAGGACAUGUGGAGCGCUUAGAAGUGAGAAUGCCGGUGUGAGUAGCGAAAGACGGGUGAGAAUCCCGUCCACCGAUUGACUAAGGUUUCCAGAGGAAGGCUCGUCCGCUCUGGGUUAGUCGGGUCCUAAGCUGAGGCCGACAGGCGUAGGCGAUGGAUAACAGGUUGAUAUUCCUGUACCAACUAGUAUCGUUUUAAUCGAUGGGUGG